GAUGAACGCUGGCGGCGUGCCUAAUACAUGCAAGUCGAGCGAACAGACGAGGAGCUUGCUCCUCUGACGUUAGCGGCGGACGGGUGAGUAACACGUAGAUAACCUACCUAUAAGACUGGGAUAACUUCGGGAAACCGGAGCUAAUACCGGAUAACAUGUUGAACCGCAUGGUUUAACAGUGAAAGACGGUCUUGCUGUCACUUAUAGAUGGAUCCGCGCCGCAUUAGCUAGUUGGUAAGGUAACGGCUUACCAAGGCAACGAUGCGUAGCCGACCUGAGAGGGUGAUCGGCCACACUGGAACUGAGACACGGUCCAGACUCCUACGGGAGGCAGCAGUAGGGAAUCUUCCGCAAUGGGCGAAAGCCUGACGGAGCAACGCCGCGUGAGUGAAGAAGGUCUUCGGAUCGUAAAACUCUGUUAUUAGGGAAGAACAAAUGUGUAAGUAACUAUGCACGUCUUGACGGUACCUAAUCAGAAAGCCACGGCUAACUACGUG
Molecule: ribosomal RNA, 497 nt
Filed under: uncultured bacterium
Lineage: Bacteria
Description: partial 16S ribosomal RNA
Rfam family: Bacterial small subunit ribosomal RNA
Source: RNAcentral